UUUUUUUUUUUUUUUUUGAAAUAAUCUCCAUUGAAGAUGAUAAAAUGUCAUUGUUAAUUAAGCCAAAUACCUGUAUAGGGAAGAGGCAAUAUUAUGUGUUUGCUGCAAUUAUCAGGUUCACUAUUUGAAUUUUAGCGGAAUCAUGGCCAUAUUUGAGCGAAGUAGAUCUCGAAUAUGGUUGCACUUGAUAUUUUACCUUUUUGCAGACCUGGCCAGGCAAGGAGUUUUGAAACCCGAGGCUGAGGAUGUUUAUUAUAAUUUUGUCCACUUGUGUCUUUGAUUUUUCUCUACAUUUUAGCGCAGAUGUUGGAAAUUUGUUUUGGAGUUGUCUUGAAGGUUCUUUUUUUUUUUUUUUUUUUU
This 360-nucleotide unclassified non-coding RNA is filed under the name Hevea brasiliensis (rubber tree). Lineage: Eukaryota; Viridiplantae; Streptophyta; Magnoliopsida; Malpighiales; Euphorbiaceae. The record is from RNAcentral.